AGCAGCCGCGGUAAUUCCAGCUCCAAUAGCGUAUAUUAAAGUUGUUGCAGUUAAAAAGCUCGUAGUUGAAUUUUAGGCCUGGCCGGGCGGUCCGUCUUUGGCGAGUACUGUCCUGUGUCGGUCCACCUUCUGGUGAACCAGUAUGUCCUUUAUUGGGUGUGCCGGGGAGCCAGGACCAUUACCUUGAAAAAAUUAGAGUGUUUAAAGCGGGCAUUUGCUUGAAUAGAUUAGCAUGGAAUAAUAGAAUAGGACGUUGUGGUUCUAUUUUGUUGGUUUCUAGGACCACCGUAAUGAUUAAUAGGGAUAGUUGGGGCAUUAGUAUUCAAUUGUCAGAGGUGAAAUUCUUGGAUUUAUUGAAGACUAACUAUUGCGAAAGCAUUUGCCAAGGAUGUUUUCAUUAAUCAAGAACGAAAGUUAGGGAGUCGAAGACGAUCAGAUACGUCGUAGUCUUAACCAUAAACUA
RNAcentral lists this ribosomal RNA (463 nucleotides) under uncultured fungus. RNAcentral's name for it is "SSU rRNA". It matches the Rfam family "Eukaryotic small subunit ribosomal RNA", at positions 569 to 1039 of the family's 1831-position model. Lineage: Eukaryota; Fungi. The record is from RNAcentral.